RNAcentral lists this unclassified non-coding RNA (149 nucleotides) under soil metagenome. Its description in RNAcentral is "partial internal transcribed spacer 1". The record is from RNAcentral.
CCGAGUUUACAACUCCCAAACCCCUGUGAACAUACCACUUGUUGCCUCGGCGGAUCAGCCCGCUCCCGGUAAAAACGGGACGGCCCGCCAGAGGACCCCUAAACUCUGUUUCUAUAUGUAAACUUCUGAGUAAAACCAUAAAUAAAUCA